This 305-nucleotide ribosomal RNA is filed under the name uncultured bacterium. Its description in RNAcentral is "bacterial SSU rRNA". It matches the Rfam family "Bacterial small subunit ribosomal RNA", at positions 335 to 657 of the family's 1533-position model. The record is from RNAcentral.
UGCCCUACGGGAGGCAGCAGUGGGGGAUAUUGCACAAUGGGGGGAACCCUGAUGCAGCGACGCCGCGUGAAGGAAGAAGUAUCUCGGUAUGUAAACUUCUAUCAGCAGGGAAGAAAAUGACGGUACCUGACUAAGAAGCCCCGGCUAACUACGUGCCAGCAGCCGCGGUAAUACGUAGGGGGCAAGCGUUAUCCGGAUUUACUGGGUGUAAAGGGAGCGUAGACGGCAUAGCAAGUCUGAAGUGAAAGCCCGUGGCUCAACCGCGGAACUGCUUUGGAAACUGUUAAGCUGGAGUACUGGAGAGG